Mus musculus (house mouse) is the source of this 1954-nucleotide long non-coding RNA. RefSeq annotates it as RIKEN cDNA B230217O12 gene. NCBI's taxonomy places the organism in Eukaryota, Metazoa, Chordata, Mammalia, Rodentia, Muridae. The transcript is spliced from 3 exons. The record is from RefSeq and is marked predicted.
GACUUGAGGGCGGGGCCGAUGGGGAGAGCAGGGCGGGCGGGGUCGGCGGGGCGCUGAAAGGCUGAGGCCAGGAGGGAGGGCGGGCCUGGCGUGGCGCACCCGGCGGUGCUGGCACUCGUCUCUCGGUGACCAGAGAGCAGUGUGAGGAUUUGGCAGCGACGUGUUGACGCUGCGCUUGCGUACCAUACGUAGGGCAAGACUGGAAGGCCGCUGGGAAAAUACCAGCAUCCCGAACGCAAAAAACGGACAGCGGGUCCACGUGCUAGGGAUUCGACCGCAUCCAAUGCAGGUGGGAAGAUCCCGCUAGACUAAAAUAGCUUAUCCUUAUCAAAACCCGGAAAUGCCAAAUGGACACGUGGGAUGAGGGUUCGGUUAAAUAACGCAGGAUGGUGGCCUACAAGGUUUCAGUGUGUUUCUGGAAAAGGAAAUAAUAUUCAGGAUGCCUAACACCGAUGAGUGAAGCCUCAAGUUAAUGAGCCCUGGGCUGGAGGCUUCCUAAAACACUAUGCAAAUGUGUAUUAAACAAGGCGUAGAGGAAACACUGACCAUUUUAAGAUGGUUGAUGCAACUUCUGAAAAUCUGAAGAACUUUGUUUCAAGCUGGUAUUAGCAUUUCACGAAAAGGAUCGGGGAGUUCUGCAUUAGGGUGAAGUAGAUUUCUCAUUAACAUGGAUGAAAAAUACCUAUUGAUAGUAUAAUUCGUUGAGCAGAGGGCAGAAGAGGGCGCCGCAACUCUGAGCAGGGUUGAGAAGCCUGUUUGGAUCCAGCUCUGCCAUUCUGGGCCGUGAGGUUACCAAUGUAGCAGUGAAGAAAGCCGGGGAUCACAGGCUCUCCUCCUUGUUAUAACAUUAGUAACAACACAAGAGGAGAGGAAACCAAGAGAGAAGACAGAAAGCCCGGAACUGGCAACCAGGACCAGAGACUUGGAGGCUGGAAGUCAAUAACCAAAGUGCCAGCACAGACCAAGCUGGGAGGACUCCAUUCUGGAUUGCGGAUGGCCACCUUCUUGCCAGGAGUCAAAAGUGAGCAGCAGUGCCCACCUCUUGGUCAUGCAGGGUGAAGGACUGAACCAGGGCUUGUGUUUGCCAGCAGCUUGCGGCACCGGGAAUGAUGGACAGCCACGUGGUCUCUGGCUGGCAGCGUGGAUGAGACACCGAUGUGGAUUCAGAGGCACCAAGGACUACGAACAUCAACAUGGCCUCCACAGCAGCACUGAUCAUGGAAGUCUUUCAAGGGGACAACUCAGAAAAUGAAUCGUUCUUCAUCUCGGAUAUCUUGUUGCUCAGAGUCAGGGUGAUCGUGGGAUCGGGCAGCGUGUGUGUGGAACAGAAGUGGGCGUGGGGGGGGCACCUAGAAGAGCUGCGGCUCCAUUCUGCGGGCUGAGCGGCAGCAGUACUUGUCCUAGCAGGCGGGAACCGGGUGAGGUGGAUCCUAUAGUUGCUUGAGCCUCCAGGGUCCGAGGAGAACCUUCUCUACUGGGCAAUGACAUGCUCCUUUGUGCCCUCCCCCUGCCGCAGCCCUGCUCCAUACCCAUCGCUGCCCAGUCUCGCUUCCCUCUGUUGCGCUGCUCUGUUCUGCAGUAUGGAAAAAAAAUAUACUUUAGGGGUGGGGCACGCCAUUGAACUUUUCAUAAUUUCCAUCUCUUUGCUGAAAUUCCCUCUGACUACACCCAUUGUCAGCUUUCCCCACCAGAUCCUUUAAUGUAUUGUUACACUUUUUAAAAUUCUUCUCUGCUAAUUUGAAUACUCAGAUCAUAUGCAAAUCCGCUUCUGUUGCUUCUGUCUAGUGUAAUUUUUUUUCCUUCCGAAGCGUUUUUUUUCUGCUAGUGUUCUUACAGUACCCCAGGGGAAUGCGAUGUCUCAUACAGGCUGUGAGACAGGGCUGCUUCAUACAGGCCAACAGGGACCACAAAUGCCUCCUACAGGCUGGGGAAUGCAACGUCUCAGCUUUUGUUC